ACGCUCGACACCUACGGGAGGUAGCAGUUGGGAAUAUUGGACAAUGGAGGAAACUCUGAUCCAGUGACGCCGCGUGAAGGAAGAAGGUCUUCGGAUUGUAAACUUAUUUUGUCAGGGAAGAAAAAAUGACUGUACCUGAAGAAAAAGCACCGGCUAACUACGUGCCAACAGCCGCGGUAAUCUGAGCGGGCUGGCAAGGC
This 200-nucleotide ribosomal RNA is filed under the name uncultured bacterium. Its description in RNAcentral is "partial 16S ribosomal RNA". It matches the Rfam family "Bacterial small subunit ribosomal RNA", at positions 328 to 539 of the family's 1533-position model. The record is from RNAcentral.